Molecule: ribosomal RNA, 460 nt
Filed under: uncultured bacterium
Lineage: Bacteria
Description: partial 16S ribosomal RNA
Rfam family: Bacterial small subunit ribosomal RNA
Source: RNAcentral
CCUACGGUAGGCAGCAGUGAGGAAUAUUGGUCAAUGGACGAGAGCCUGAACCAGCCAAGUAGCGUGAAGGAUGACUGCCCUACGGGUUGUAAACUUCUUUUAUAAGGGAAUAAAAUGAGCCACGUGUGCUUUUUUGUAUGUAUCUUAUGAAUAAGGAUCGGCUAACUCCGUGCCAGCAGCCGCGGUAAUCCGGAGGAUCCGAGCGUUAUCCGGAUUUAUUGGGUUUAAAGGGAGCGUAGGUGGAUUGUUAAGGCAGUUGUGAAAGUUUGCGGCUCAACCGUAAAAGUGCAAUUGAUACUGGCAGUCUUGAGUACAGUGGAGGUAGGCGGAAUUCGUGGUGUAGCGGUGAAAUGCUUAGAUAUCACGAAGAACUCCGAUUGCGAAGGCAGCCUACUGAACUGCAACUGACACUGAGGCUCGAAAGUGUGGGUAUCAAACAGGAUUAGAUACCCUAGUAGUC